This 1493-nucleotide ribosomal RNA is filed under the name metagenome. RNAcentral describes it as "bacterial SSU rRNA". It matches the Rfam family "Bacterial small subunit ribosomal RNA". The record is from RNAcentral.
AGAGUUUGAUCAUGGCUCAGGACGAACGCUGGCGGCGUGCUUAACACAUGCAAGUCGAACGAGAAUCUGCGGAAAGAGGAUUCGUCCAAUUGAAGCAGAGGACAGUGGCGGACGGGUGAGUAACGCGUGAGGAACCUGCCUUUCAGAGGGGGACAACAGUUGGAAACGACUGCUAAUACCGCAUGACACAUCGGAGUCGCAUGGCUCUGAUGCCAAAGAUUUAUCGCUGAAAGAUGGCCUCGCGUCUGAUUAGCUAGUUGGUGAGGUAACGGCCCACCAAGGCGACGAUCAGUAGCCGGACUGAGAGGUUGAACGGCCACAUUGGGACUGAGAUACGGCCCAGACUCCUACGGGAGGCAGCAGUGGGGAAUAUUGGGCAAUGGGCGCAAGCCUGACCCAGCAACGCCGCGUGAAGGAAGAAGGCUUUCGGGUUGUAAACUUCUUUUGUCAGGGACGAGUAGAAGACGGUACCUGACGAAUAAGCCACGGCUAACUACGUGCCAGCAGCCGCGGUAAUACGUAAGUGGCAAGCGUUGUCCGGAUUUACUGGGUGUAAAGGGCGUGUAGCCGGGAGGGCAAGUCAGAUGUGAAAUCCACGGGCUCAACUCGUGAACUGCAUUUGAAACUACUCUUCUUGAGUAUCGGAGAGGCAAUCGGAAUUCCUAGUGUAGCGGUGAAAUGCGUAGAUAUUAGGAGGAACACCAGUGGCGAAGGCGGAUUGCUGGACGACAACUGACGGUGAGGCGCGAAAGCGUGGGGAGCAAACAGGAUUAGAUACCCUGGUAGUCCACGCUGUAAACGAUGAAUACUAGGUGUGCGGGGACUGACCCCCUGCGUGCCGCAGCUAACGCAAUAAGUAUUCCACCUGGGGAGUACGAUCGCAAGGUUGAAACUCAAAGGAAUUGACGGGGGCCCGCACAAGCGGUGGAUUAUGUGGUUUAAUUCGAAGCAACGCGAAGAACCUUACCAGGGCUUGACAUCCUACUAACGAAGUAGAGAUACAUCAGGUGCCCUUCGGGGAAAGUAGAGACAGGUGGUGCAUGGUUGUCGUCAGCUCGUGCCGUGAGAUGUUGGGUUAAGUCCCGCAACGAGCGCAACCCUUAUCUUUAGUAGCCAGCGGUUCGGCCGGGCACUCUAGAGAGACUGCCAGGGAUAACCUGGAGGAAGGCGGGGAUGACGUCAAAUCAUCAUGCCCCUUAUGACUUGGGCUACACACGUGCUACAAUGGCGUAAACAAAGGGAAGCAAAGCUGUGAAGCCGAGCAAAUCUCAAAAAUAACGUCUCAGUUCGGACUGUAGUCUGCAACCCGACUACACGAAGCUGGAAUCGCUAGUAAUCGCAGAUCAGAAUGCUGCGGUGAAUACGUUCCCGGGUCUUGUACACACCGCCCGUCACACCAUGGGAGUUGGGAAUGCCCGAAGCCAGUAACCUAACCGAAAGGAAGGAGCUGUCGAAGGCAGGCUCGAUAACUGGGGUGAAGUCGUAACAAGGUA